Molecule: non-coding RNA, 23 nt
Filed under: Rattus norvegicus (Norway rat)
Lineage: Eukaryota; Metazoa; Chordata; Mammalia; Rodentia; Muridae
Source: RNAcentral
AUAUAAAUUGAAUGCUGAUGGAU